RNAcentral lists this non-coding RNA (258 nucleotides) under Eubacterium sp. RNAcentral's name for it is "T-box sequence". It matches the Rfam family "T-box leader". From Rfam's summary of the family: Uncharged tRNA acts as the effector for transcription antitermination of genes in the T-box leader family. T-boxes are found upstream of many aminoacyl-tRNA synthetase genes and some amino acid biosynthetic genes usually in Gram-positive bacteria. Lineage: Bacteria; Bacillati; Bacillota; Clostridia; Eubacteriales; Eubacteriaceae. The record is from RNAcentral.
ACAAAAGCAUUGAUAAGGAGGAGUACUUACUUUUUGACUCUGCAGAGAGGGAAUGGUCGGUGAAAAUUCCCGUGGCAGAAGUAAGGAAGGUAGCCUUUGAGCUUUGAACCGAACAAAGUUAUUUUCAGUAGGCUUCAACGGCAGUUCCCACCGUUAUAAGGGAGGCAAUAUCGGAUAAUUUGAUUAUCCCGCAUUGUUUAAGUGCAGAAACUGUAUUUCUGAAUUUAGGUGGUACCACGGAUUUUAUUCGCCCUAAGC